AUACGAAGGGGGCUAGCGUUGUUCGGAAUUACUGGGCGUAAAGCGCGCGUAGGCGGAUUGGUCAGUUAGGGGAGAAAUCCCAGGGCUUAACCCUGGAACUGCCUCUAAUACUGCCAGUCUUGAGUUCGGGAGAGGUGAGUGGAAUUCCUAGUGUAGAGGUGAAAUUCGUAGAUAUUAGGAAGAACACCAGUGGCGAAGGCGGCUCACUGGCCCGAUACUGACGCUGAGGCGCGAAAGCGUGGGGAGCAAACAGGAUUAGAUACCCCAGUAGUCC
RNAcentral lists this ribosomal RNA (274 nucleotides) under uncultured bacterium. RNAcentral describes it as "partial 16S ribosomal RNA". It matches the Rfam family "Bacterial small subunit ribosomal RNA", at positions 523 to 796 of the family's 1533-position model. The record is from RNAcentral.